GACAGAAAAGCAAGAGAGGGAUCCGAGGAGUGCCGACCAGAGAGGCAGUUCAUGUAGCCUCAUUAGUAAAGCCCCCAGGGGCUGUGACUGUCCUGCGCGGGCUUCCAAGUCCACCUGAGAGUUCUGAUGCUGUGCUGACCCCAUGGCACAUCAGGGGCAGCGAGCCUGCUGUCCACACUGGCUGGGAGAAGCAGCAGCCAGGCAAGAGAACAACAAACAGGGGCAGGCAGCCACCCACCAAGAGGACAUGUGGAACCAGGCAGCACGCCAUUUGGAAAGCAAGUCUAUAUGGGAGUGGUCACUAUCAUGGAAAGGAAAAAGAAUGGGAAAACCUGAGAUUUAAGAAAGACCCAAUGCUGUUCUAGAAGCAUCUUCAGAAAGAGCAAUAAAGCUUCUUUGGGGAAGUCACAGGACACAGACUCUCCAGGGUGGAAGGGAUCUUGAAGAGCACAGAGGCCAAGUCCUCAUCCAUCUCUCGACUUCCUUCAUGACUCAUCUGAAGACGGCUGGAUUGGUCUAUGUCUGUACCCUACCCUCACCCCACAAUCCCAGUCCACCCUAUCUCAGAACAAUUUCAAAUGCAGGGGAGGAUCAGAGAUGAAGAUGUUACUCCAAAAGUAUACAUGCAAAGAUGUUCUGGAAGUGCUACUUCUUAACUUGUCUGGUCUUAUAGUCUGUGGUUGAAGUGAGUUUCUCCACUUCUAGAACGCUUUAGGUCUUGUUUCCUGUCCUCUUUGAAAAGUUUUAUUAAUAAUUACGUGCUGCCCUUCUAUUACUCCUACUUUCCAUACCCUGGAAAGUAUACACGGUUCUAGAAUAUUCCAUUAGGAGGGCCAGUUUCUGUAUUACUAGUUUCCACAAGAGUUCAGCAACAAGAUUUCAAGGACUUUUCUUUUUAACGAUCUGAAAAUGAAGAAUGACUCAUCAUACUAUAGGUGCCCUGUAUAUGCUUCAAAAUAAGUGUGUUUUUUGCUCAGUUCUUGUGCCUUCUCGGACCCUCAUGACAACAAUAGGAAUAAACCUACGUAGAAAGUCUAUCUCAGUAGUAAUGAUUGGGGCAACCGAAUGGACUCGACUGACUCAUAUUUCCCACACAUCUUUAAAUUUAUAGCUGGCCUCUGACUAUUUUAGAAAGCCUAUGAUUUGAACUUCAUCCAAGUUUUAACAGCAAUAAAAUUCCACAGGAAAUGGGUUCUUUAGAAUCCAAGAAAUGCACACUUAGGCUAUUGCCUACAAUCAAAUUAUUCUGCUGUUGGAGUUGUGUUGCUGGAGAGAAGAUGAUCCCUUCUUCCCAGAAGAGGCCAUGUUUUCCCAUAUCACAACAUGCAUAGAAUUGGCACUGGUCAACACUAAACCUUCUAUAAGCAUGAUGAGGACAACUUCUGAGCAGCAUCAUCAAGCUUGCCUCUCCUGGGCCACUACAACACCUGCCUCCCACCUUGACAAGCCCUGCGUCAGGCAGGCAUCAUCCCAAUUUGGCCUUGCAAGUUGUUACACGAACAUCCUUCAAGAGUGAUGCCUGAAACAAUCAGUUGCCUUUUUGUCUCGCAAAAAGCCUUUGCUCUCAUCUCAGCUUAGAAUGUCCAUCCAUCACAGUUAGCAGGGCUGGGCCAGCACGGACCUCCAGAAUGUGCAAUGAGCUUUGUAGGCAAUUACCACUUUCUCCAAGGGCUCUGUAGGAUGAGGGUGAAGUGAAUGUCAUUGGAACGGUAGCAUUGUGGUCUAAAAGCUGCAUUCUGCCACAGAUCAACAUGAUGAAAUGUUUAAUUUAGCCUAAAAUUAUUUAUCUGUAUCACCGGCCAUGCCUCAACCACAUACCCCUCAAUAUGUAAACAACAAUAGAUUUAUCUGUUUUAUUUCUGAGAA
RNAcentral lists this long non-coding RNA (1866 nucleotides) under Homo sapiens (human). RNAcentral's name for it is "HSALNT0299095". The record is from RNAcentral. Lineage: Eukaryota; Metazoa; Chordata; Mammalia; Primates; Hominidae.